AUGUUAAUCCGGAAAUUUUGGUGGGGGGGUAAGGAAGGGAAGCGCAAACCCCAUUGGGUUUCUUGGAAAACCAUGACCCAACCAAAAGGCAUGGGCGGGUUAGGCUUCAAGGAUUUCGAGCUUUUUAACUUGGCAAUGCUAGCCAAGUAGGCAUGGAGGUUGCUGCAAGAUCCGGACUCUGUAAGCAUGCACAUUUUGAAAAGCAUAUACUACCCAAACUGUUCGAUUUUGGAAGCUACAUUGGGGAACCACCCAAGUCAAAUUUGGAGGGCCAUAGUGGAGGGACGAGACACUCUGAAGGUUGGCCUGAUUAAGCGCAAUUGUAACGGAGAAACGACAAAGAUUUGGGAAGAUAGCUGGUUUCCUAGAGAGGAGAUGAUGAAACCGUAUGGGUGUAUUAUUCAAAACCCUCCGCUGCUAGCGUCUGAGCUCAUAGACAGCACGUCAGCAAGCUGGGUUAGAGAGAAGGUGGAGGCCGUGUUCAUGCCUAUGGAUACUCAAGUCAUUCUACGCAUCCCCCUAUGCACACGUAAUAUCCCAGACUUUUGGAGUUGGCACUAUGAAAAGAAUGGUCUCUUCUUGGUCCGUUCGGCAUAUCGAAUGCUUGUUGCUACCAGAUUAAGAAGAGAGGUGUGGCUUGAAAAUACUAAAGGAUCUUCAAGCUCGGUGGCGGAGGAGAAAUCUUGGAAGAAUUUGUGGAAAACUUGA
Molecule: ribosomal RNA, 708 nt
Filed under: Triticum aestivum (bread wheat)
Lineage: Eukaryota; Viridiplantae; Streptophyta; Magnoliopsida; Poales; Poaceae
Description: partial small subunit ribosomal RNA
Source: RNAcentral